Molecule: transfer RNA, 57 nt
Filed under: Muntiacus reevesi (Reeves' muntjac)
Lineage: Eukaryota; Metazoa; Chordata; Mammalia; Artiodactyla; Cervidae
Also listed under: 9 other names
Rfam family: tRNA
About the family: Transfer RNA (tRNA) molecules are approximately 80 nucleotides in length.
Source: Rfam by way of RNAcentral
UAGCUCAGUCAGUAAAGAAUCUGCCUGCAAUGCAGGAGACCCAGGUUCAAUUCCUGG